This is a non-coding RNA of Heterocephalus glaber (naked mole-rat), 960 nucleotides long. The record is from RefSeq and is a predicted model, not a curated record. NCBI's taxonomy places the organism in Eukaryota, Metazoa, Chordata, Mammalia, Rodentia, Bathyergidae.
UCUUGUUAGUCUAAGGUUGGCAACCUGAAAUGCACAUCAGAGACCAACUCUCUAAAGGGGAGUUCCUUUGAAAAUUGCAGGAACUGUGAUCAGGUUCAUACCUGCUAUGGAAGGCCACUGGUAACCCUAUAAUAGUGUUACACGCCUUUGAUAACUGUUCUUCAACUCUGUAAAGUAAGAAUGAUAGCACCUAUUUUAUAAAGUCUCCCCAGCCUCUCCCAGCUCAGGUCAUGAUUUGAAUGGAGAAGACUGGCCUCAGCCUUGACCUGGAAGCAAUCAUCUGGCCUCAGCCUUGAGUGCUACUGUGCCAAGUGCGCACCAGCCCACCUGCAAUUGCUGGUCUUAGAAAGGCAAGGUACCAGUGACAAGGAGAGUGUGUUGGCUCAGACCUGUUAUCCCCACACUGGGAGGCUGAGGAAAGAAGAGGCCGAGCUGGAAAUCAGCCUGGGAAAUACAGCAAGUUCCGGGCCAUGCAGUGCUGGAGCAGACGAUUUCCUGUGAACCUAAAGUCAGAAAAGAAAUGGAGCAAUUCUACCACCACUCAGAACCUGCACUGUCAUCCUCAACUUUGCAUGUGAGGAGGCUCCCAGCCAGAAAUGCAGCCCUGAACCAACCAGGAGAUGCAUCUGGGUGUCUACAGCCCCUAAGUCACUACUUCCCAAAGAAUGAAUGAGUGGAGGAUCCGCGGCUCCAUUCUCAGCUUUCUUCUUCAGUGAUAAUUCUCCUGUAUUUUUUUUUUUUUGUACUGGGGAUCAAACUGAGGACCUUCUGCUUACAAGGGAGGCAGCGGAACCACUGAGCUAAAUCCCCAGCUAUAGUGAUAAAUAAUUCUAAUGCUCUCAGCUAGACAUGGCCAUUCAUGCCUAUAUCCCACCAUUCAGGAGGCAGAGGGAGGAGGAUGGAAAAUUGGGGGUCACCUGGACUACAGAGCAAAACCUGUUAAGGAAAAUAUAGAAUAAC